RNAcentral lists this ribosomal RNA (1125 nucleotides) under metagenome. Its description in RNAcentral is "bacterial SSU rRNA". It matches the Rfam family "Bacterial small subunit ribosomal RNA", at positions 8 to 1104 of the family's 1533-position model. The record is from RNAcentral.
AGAGUUUGAUCAUGGCUCAGGACGAACGCUGGCGGCGUGCUUAACACAUGCAAGUCGAACGAGACGAUUGAAAGCUUGCUUUUGAAAGUCGAGUGGCAAACGGGUGAGUAACGCGUAGACAACCUGCCGUAAAGAUGGGGACAACAGUCCGAAAGGACUGCUAAUACCGAAUGUUGUAAAUCUUCCGCAUGGAAGACUUACUAAAGGUGGCCUCUACUUGUAAGCUAUCGCUUUACGAUGGGUCUGCGUCUGAUUAGCUGGUUGGUGGGGUAACGGCCUACCAAGGCGACGAUCAGUAGCCGGUCUGAGAGGAUGAACGGCCACAUUGGAACUGAGACACGGUCCAGACUCCUACGGGAGGCAGCAGUGGGGAAUCUUCCGCAAUGGGCGCAAGCCUGACGGAGCAACGCCGCGUGAGUGAAGAAGGGUUUCGACUCGUAAAGCUCUGUUGUCGGGGACGAACGUGGAGACGGCGAAUAGCUGUUUCCAAUGACGGUACCUGACGAGGAAGCCACGGCUAACUACGUGCCAGCAGCCGCGGUAAUACGUAGGUGGCGAGCGUUGUCCGAAAUUAUUGGGCGUAAAGGGAGCGCAGGCGGGAAGGUAAGUCUAUCUUAAAAGUGCGGGGCUCAACCCCGUGAGGGGAUGGAAACUAUCUUUCUUGAGUGCAGGAGAGGAAAGCGGAAUUCCUAGUGUAGCGGUGAAAUGCGUAGAUAUUAGGAGGAACACCAGUGGCGAAGGCGGCUUUCUGGACUGUAACUGACGCUGAGGCUCGAAAGCGUGGGGAGCGAACAGGAUUAGAUACCCUGGUAGUCCAUGCCGUAAACGAUGAAUGCUAGGUGUAGGAGGUAUCGACCCCUUCUGUGCCGGAGUUAACGCAAUAAGCAUUCCGCCUGGGGAGUACGGCCGCAAGGCUGAAACUCAAAGGAAUUGACGGGGGCCCGCACAAGCGGUGGAGUAUGUGGUUUAAUUCGACGCAACGCGAAGAACCUUACCAGGGCUUGACAUUGAGUGAAAGGACAAGAGAUUGUCCCCUCUCUUCGGAGACACGAAAACAGGUGGUGCAUGGCUGUCGUCAGCUCGUGUCGUGAGAUGUUGGGUUAAGUCCCGCAACGAGCGCAACCC